GGAGGGGUGCAAACGUUGCUCGGAAUUACUGGGCGUAAAGCGCAUGUAGGCGGUCUAUUAAGUCUCGUGUGAAAGCCCUGGGCUCAACCCAGGAAGUGCACGGGAAACUGGCAGGCUAGAGUGCGGGAAAAGAGGGCGGAAUUCCCGGUGUAGAGGUGAAAUUCGUAGAUAUCGGGAGGAACACCAGUAGCGAAAGCGGCUCUCUCGACCGACACUGACGCUCAGAUGCGAAAGCGUGGGGAGCAAACAGGAUUAGAUACCCUGGUAGUCCACGCCGUAAACGAUGGGCACUAGGUGUCGGGGGCUUGACCCCUUCGGCGCCGCAGCUAACGCAUUAAGUGCCCCGCCUGGGGAUUACGGUCGCAAGACUA
This 371-nucleotide ribosomal RNA is filed under the name uncultured organism. Its description in RNAcentral is "partial 16S ribosomal RNA". It matches the Rfam family "Bacterial small subunit ribosomal RNA", at positions 526 to 896 of the family's 1533-position model. The record is from RNAcentral.